RNAcentral lists this ribosomal RNA (321 nucleotides) under uncultured Pseudomonadota bacterium. RNAcentral's name for it is "bacterial SSU rRNA". It matches the Rfam family "Bacterial small subunit ribosomal RNA", at positions 29 to 351 of the family's 1533-position model. The record is from RNAcentral. Lineage: Bacteria; Pseudomonadati; Pseudomonadota.
AUUGAACGCUGGCGGCAUGCCUUACACAUGCAAGUCGAACGGCAGCACGGGGGCAACCCUGGUGGCGAGUGGCGAACGGGUGAGUAAUGCAUCGGAACGUGCCCUGAAGUGGGGGAUAGCCCGGCGAAAGCCGGAUUAAUACCGCAUACGACCUACGGGUGAAAGCGGGGGAUCGCAAGACCUCGCGCCAUUGGAGCGGCCGAUAUCAGAUUAGGUAGUUGGUGGGGUAAAGGCCUACCAAGCCAACGAUCUGUAGCUGGUCUGAGAGGACGACCAGCCACACUGGGACUGAGACACGGCCCAGACACCUACGGGAGGCAG